Molecule: long non-coding RNA, 576 nt
Organism: Vidua chalybeata
Lineage: Eukaryota; Metazoa; Chordata; Aves; Passeriformes; Viduidae
Exons: 3
Source: RefSeq, a predicted model, not a curated record
GGACAGCCCCGAGCCGCUCCGGAGCGCUUCCCCGUGCUUCCACAGGAGCGUUUGUAACGACUCACUAACUAAAUAUUAAAGCUGCACCGUUCAUGUUUUAAGUGUAAUUCCCUAUACCAACGGGUGAAGAGUUUAAGUCAGCUCUGUCACACUGUAUUUUAGUUGCUAUGUUCUCAUCUCCUUAACAGAAAAGCUCCUACCAUAGGAACAAGAAUGGAAGAUGACCAUUCAGUGCUGUGAACAAAGUCUCAGAGGAACUUCUUACGAACCUUCUUCUGGAUGGCAUAAAGCAUACAAUGAAGCAGCAGGUCCCUGUACUUGUGCAAGUGCAAUCCCAUCGCUGUGCGUGCAGCUUAGCACCUGGCUCUACACGGGACUCCAACAUGCCCAAUGUACUUUUGAUGGAUGGUCUGCAAGAAAUUUAAAGCCUGGAAGAACUGCACAGGACUGGUCCUUCAACCCACUGGUGAUUCAGAAUUUAUUGUGAGAUCUCUGUUCUCCUAAACAGUCUGCAUCUGCAUAUCCAAUAUUUCUGACAAAUAAAUACAAAAAUAAAUAGGGAUCUGGCCUCACAGA